AUUGAACGCUGGCGGCAGGCCUAACACAUGCAAGUCGAGCGGAUGAAGGGAGCUUGCUCCUGGAUUCAGCGGCGGACGGGUGAGUAAUGCCUAGGAAUCUGCCUGGUCGUGGGGGAUAACGUCCGGAAACGGGCGCUAAUACCGCAUACGUCCUGAGGGAGAAAGUGGGGGAUCUUCGGACCUCACGCUAUCAGAUGAGCCUAGGUCGGAUUAGCUAGUUGGUGGGGUAAAGGCCUACCAAGGCGACGAUCCGUAACUGGUCUGAGAGGAUGAUCAGUCACACUGGAACUGAGACACGGUCCAGACUCCUACGGGAGGCAGCAGUGGGGAAUAUUGGACAAUGGGCGAAAGCCUGAUCCAGACAUGCCGCGUGGGUGAAGAAGGUCUUCGGAUUGUAAAGCACUUUAAGUUGGGAGGAAGGGCAGUAAGUUAAUACCUUGCUGUUUUGACGUUACCAACAGAAUAAGCACCGGCUAACUUCGUG
RNAcentral lists this ribosomal RNA (484 nucleotides) under uncultured bacterium. Its description in RNAcentral is "partial 16S ribosomal RNA". It matches the Rfam family "Bacterial small subunit ribosomal RNA", at positions 30 to 507 of the family's 1533-position model. The record is from RNAcentral.